RNAcentral lists this ribosomal RNA (446 nucleotides) under uncultured Desulfosporosinus sp. RNAcentral's name for it is "bacterial SSU rRNA". It matches the Rfam family "Bacterial small subunit ribosomal RNA", at positions 931 to 1382 of the family's 1533-position model. Lineage: Bacteria; Bacillati; Bacillota; Clostridia; Eubacteriales; Desulfitobacteriaceae. The record is from RNAcentral.
AGUGGAGUAUGUGGUUUAAUUCGAAGCAACGCGAAGAACUCCAGGGCUUGACAUCCCUUGAAGCAGCUAGAGAUAGCUGUGUCCUUCGGGACAAGGAGACAGGUGGUGCAUGGUUGUCGUCAGCUCGUGUCGUGAGAUGUUGGGUUAAGUCCCGCAACGAGCGCAACCCCUGUGGUUAGUUGUCAGCAAGUAGCGUUGGGCACUCUAGCCAGACUGCCGGUGAUAAAUCGGAGGAAGGUGGGACGACGUCAAAUCAUCAUGCCCUUUAUGUCCUGGGCUACACACGUGCUACAAUGGCCGGUACAGACGGACGCAAAGCCGCGAGGUGGAGCAAAUCCUAAAAAGCCGGUCUCAGUUCGGAUUGCAGGCUGCAAUUCGCCUGCAUGAAGUCGGAAUCGCUAGUAAUCGCAGGUCAGCAUACUGCGGUGAAUACGUUCCCGGGCCUU